GUCCUGAAGGAACGUUGAAGACGACGACGUUGAUAGGUCGGGUGUGUAAGCGUAGCGAUACGUUGAGCUAACCGAUACUAAUGAACCGUGAGGCUUAACCUU
This 102-nucleotide non-coding RNA is filed under the name Citrobacter braakii. RNAcentral describes it as "partial 23S ribosomal RNA". It matches the Rfam family "Bacterial large subunit ribosomal RNA", at positions 2824 to 2925 of the family's 2925-position model. Lineage: Bacteria; Pseudomonadati; Pseudomonadota; Gammaproteobacteria; Enterobacterales; Enterobacteriaceae. The record is from RNAcentral.